AGAUUGAACGCUGGCGGCAUGCCUUACACAUGCAAGUCGAACGGCAGCACGGGAGCAAUCCUGGUGGCGAGUGGCGAACGGGUGAGUAAUACAUCGGAACGUGCCCAGUAGUGGGGGAUGGCCCGGCGAAAGCCGGAUUAAUACCGCAUACGACCUACGGGUGAAAGCGGGGGAUCGCAAGACCUCGCGCUAUCGGAGCGGCCGAUGUCAGAUUAGCUAGUUGGUGGGUAAAAGCCCACCAAGGCGACGAUCUGUAGCUGGUCUGAGAGGACGACCAGCCACACUGGGACUGAGACACGGCCCAGACUCCUACGGGAGGCAGCAGUGGGAAUUUUGGACAAUGGGCGCAAGCCUGAUCCAGCCAUGCCGCGUGCGGGAAGAAGGCCUUCGGUUGUAAACCGCUUUUGUCAGGAAGAAAAGCUCCGGCCAAUACCCGGAGUGAUGACGGUACCUGAAGAAUAAGCACCGCUAACUACGUGCCAGCACGCCG
RNAcentral lists this ribosomal RNA (490 nucleotides) under uncultured soil bacterium. RNAcentral describes it as "bacterial SSU rRNA". It matches the Rfam family "Bacterial small subunit ribosomal RNA", at positions 26 to 517 of the family's 1533-position model. The record is from RNAcentral.